Long non-coding RNA from Thunnus maccoyii (southern bluefin tuna), 522 nucleotides. RefSeq lists it as uncharacterized. The record is from RefSeq and is a predicted model, not a curated record. The transcript has 3 exons. Lineage: Eukaryota; Metazoa; Chordata; Actinopteri; Scombriformes; Scombridae.
UUCAAAUGAAUACAUAUACCAGUCCACUCAUCCUUAAAUGUUUGGUUUUUUGUAAGUUUUAUUUUAUAAAGCCAUUUUACUUAAUCAACCGGAGCACCAACCUUGCUAACUGCGGUUACUGACUAACAGGUAGCUGAAUGAUAACAGCAGAGGUGACGGCUUCGAGUCAGUUGUGGUGAAAUUUUGUUUCCGAUCUGGAUUUAAUAGUUAUUCUGUCUGGAUCUGGACCGGAGUCCGCCUAUUGAGGCUGUUGCAGCUGCAGAGCCUUAUCCCAGGGUGUGUGCUUCGCUCACCAGGCUGGUGUGAGUGGGAAGGUGCUGUCAUCACUGAAGACAAGGAGUAGGAAUUUUCCAGAAGUGUUUCUGCAGAUCUGUGGAAUGCUGACAGGACAGAGCAUGUCGGUGGUUCUCACGCUCUCUGCAGAAUAUGUCCUGUGCGAACUAGCUGAGGGAAAGACAACUUGACUAAAGUUCACUUUCCACCGAGUGAACACGUUGUAUAUUAGUUCCAUAUUAUUAAACA